RNAcentral lists this long non-coding RNA (204 nucleotides) under Mytilus galloprovincialis (Mediterranean mussel). Lineage: Eukaryota; Metazoa; Mollusca; Bivalvia; Mytilida; Mytilidae. The record is from RNAcentral.
AAAUUAAGGGGGGCAAGCUCCCUGUUAUAAUAAAUUACAUUCACAACACCUGAUGAGUGCCCUGAUGUUUGUAUCAUAAGAAUCAAUUACCGUAGAUAAGACAUUUACUGUACAUGUAGCUACAGUAACAUAGACAAAAUAAUUGAGAACCCAAAACAAGUGUCCUGCCCUCCACUGCCACUUUGCCACAAUUUCUAGAUGGAC